RNAcentral lists this ribosomal RNA (419 nucleotides) under bacterium. RNAcentral describes it as "partial 16S ribosomal RNA". It matches the Rfam family "Bacterial small subunit ribosomal RNA", at positions 355 to 776 of the family's 1533-position model. The record is from RNAcentral.
UGGGGGAUAUUGCACAAUGGGCGAAAGCCUGAUGCAGCGACGCCGCGUGGGGGAUGAAGGCCUUCGGGUUGUAAACUUCUUUUGCUCUGAACAAGGCAUGCUAAUGGGUGUGUUGAGUGUAGGGGUUGAUUAGCGCCGGCUAACUACGUGCCAGCAGCCGCGGUAAUACGUAGGGCGCGAGCGUUGUCCGGAAUUAUUGGGCGUAAAGGGCUUGUAGGUGGCUGGUUGCGUCAGUCGUGAAAGCUCAUGGCUUAACUGUGGGUUGGCGGUGGGUACGGGCUGGCUUGAGUGCGGUAGGGGAGGCUGGAAUUCCUGGUGUAGCGGUGGAAUGCGCAGAUAUCAGGAAGAAUACCGGUGGCGAAGGCGGGUCUCUGGGCUGUUACUGACACUGAGUAGCGAAAGCAUGGGGAGCGAACAGG